GUUUACAGUCGAUAUUUUCACGAGAAUUUACGAGUCGUUGGUCAGAGAACGAUACUUUAAUAAACCUAUAUUCGAUGCAUCGUGCAUAAGAGAACUUCGAACGUAUAAUAAAUCCUUGUUGAGACUUAUUGUUCCUUGGGGGCCCGACGCGAGGAAGAGAACAAGUAAAAGAAGAAAUCUUCAUAAUAGAGACUCCUACGGAACCUUCGUGAACAAAUGUGAGAACAUCGAAGCUGUUUGUUACCCAAGGAUUCAUGCUGCUUCGACAGAAUGGAGCUUCUAAAACUCUAUUUAAAUUCACUUUUUACCGUGUAACCGUGAUUAAGUACAAGUUAUCUUGUAAUCGAUGAUUUUUGUGCAAAA
Apis florea (little honeybee) is the source of this 363-nucleotide long non-coding RNA. The record is from RefSeq and is a predicted model, not a curated record. Lineage: Eukaryota; Metazoa; Arthropoda; Insecta; Hymenoptera; Apidae.